Molecule: ribosomal RNA, 492 nt
Filed under: uncultured bacterium
Lineage: Bacteria
Description: partial 16S ribosomal RNA
Rfam family: Bacterial small subunit ribosomal RNA
Source: RNAcentral
AGUGAACGCUGGCGGUAGGCCUAACACAUGCAAGUCGAACGGCAGCACAGUAAGAGCUUGCUCUUACGGGUGGCGAGUGGCGGACGGGUGAGGAAUACAUCGGACUCUACUUUUUCGUGGGGGAUAACGUAGGGAAACUUACGCUAAUACCGCAUACGACCUACGGGUGAAAGCAGGGGAUCUUCUGACCUUGCGCGAUUGAAUGAGCCGAUGUCGGAUUAGCUAGUUGGCGGGGUAAAGGCCCACCAAGGCGACGAUCCGUAGCUGGUCUGAGAGGAUGGUCAGCCACACUGGAACUGAGACACGGUCCAGACUCCUACGGGAGGCAGCAGUGGGGAAUAUUGGACAAUGGGCGCAAGCCUGAUCCAGCCAUACCGCGUGGGUGAAGAAGGCCUUCGGGUUGUAAAGCCCUUUUGUUGGGAAAGAAAAGCAGCAGGUUAAUACCCCGCUGUUCUGACGGUACCCAAAGAAUAAGCACCGGCUAACUUCGUG